Patiria miniata (bat star) is the source of this 536-nucleotide long non-coding RNA. RefSeq lists it as uncharacterized. The record is from RefSeq and is a predicted model, not a curated record. NCBI's taxonomy places the organism in Eukaryota, Metazoa, Echinodermata, Asteroidea, Valvatida, Asterinidae. The transcript has 2 exons.
UGAUUAGAAAUUAUUUAUUUGCUUUGCCCGUUAGGUCAAAUGAGGGCGCUGUUUAAGUUAACUGGUCAAACUUCCGCGAAUUUGUUGAGGGGUUAUGAGGAUAUAGAAAUAGUACGUUCAUCAGCCAAGUAAGGGGAUAUUUUGACGAUAAUAGAUAACUAAGGGGUUCUAUCUCUCAUGAAGUGCUGUAUUCUCAGAAGUAAAUUUCUGUUAUUGUAAAAUAUGUGAAUGUAGGAUAGAGCAGAUGAUGUUUUAAUCGUGUGCGCCUUAAUACUAAACAACUGUUUACGUAAGCGGGUUUGGCGGGCACUGUCUCCGAGGUCUGCGUUUCUGACAGCUGCAGAAAGCUUGCUUUAGCAACUAUUAUCAGACCAAUUUAGCCUGACAGCCGAUGGCUGGAAUGUAUUACUAGACACCAGAGGAAGGAGAGACAGCCCUGGAGCCCGUGCACUGGCUGGUUUUUUUGUGAUGAAUGGGAGCAGAAACGACUAAUAAAUUUGAUGUGAUUGAAUCAUCACCCCUGAACCUCGACUCCA